AUUGAACGCUGGCGGCAGGCUUAACACAUGCAAGUCGAGCGGGGGAAGGUAGCUUGCUACCGGACCUAGCGGCGGACGGGUGAGUAAUGCUUAGGAAUCUGCCUAUUAGUGGGGGACAACAUCUCGAAAGGGAUGCUAAUACCGCAUACGUCCUACGGGAGAAAGCAGGGGGUCUUCGGACCUUGCGCUAAUAGAUGAGCCUAAGUCGGAUUAGCUAGUUGGGGGGGUAAAGGCCUACCAAGGCGACGAUCUGUAGCGGGUCUGAGAGGAUGAUCCGCAACACUGGGAGUGGGACACGGACCGGACUCCUACGGGAGGCAGCAGUGGGGAAUAUUGGACAAUGGGGGGAACCCUGAUCCAGCCAUGCCGCGUGUGUGAAGAAGGCCUUAUGGUUGUAAAGCACUUUAAGCGAGGAGGAGGCUACUCUAGUUAAUACCUAGGGAUAGUGGACGUUACUCGCAGAACAAGCACCGGCUAACUCUGUGCCAGCCGCCGCCGUAA
Molecule: ribosomal RNA, 501 nt
Filed under: uncultured bacterium
Lineage: Bacteria
Description: partial 16S ribosomal RNA
Rfam family: Bacterial small subunit ribosomal RNA
Source: RNAcentral